GGCCGGCUGGCUCAAUCGGUAGAGCGUCUGACUACGAAUCGUGGUUUCGAAUGAGUCAUGAAUAGUCCAUCAGGAGGCUGCAGGUUCGAGUCCUGCGUCGGUCA
This is a non-coding RNA of Sodiomyces alkalinus F11, 104 nucleotides long. The record is from the annotation of a RefSeq genome assembly. NCBI's taxonomy places the organism in Eukaryota, Fungi, Ascomycota, Sordariomycetes, Glomerellales, Plectosphaerellaceae.